GCGAAAACUUUACAAUGCUGGCAACAGCGAUAAGGGAACCUCGAGUGCCAGGUUACAAAUCUGGCUGUCGAGAUGCCUAAAAAGCAUUUCAUAGCAAGGGCCGGGCAAGACCGGUGCCAGCCGCCGCGGUAACACCGGCGGCUCGAGUGGCAACCGUUAUUAUUGGGUCUAAAGGGUCUGUAGCCGGCCGGAUAAGUCUCUUGAGAAAUCUGGCAGCUUAACUGUCAGGCUUUCAGGAGAUACUGUCUGGCUCGAGGCCGGGAGAGGUGAGAGGUACUUCAGGGGUAGGGGUGAGAUCUUGUAAUCCUUGAAGGACCACCAGUGGCGAAGGCGUCUCACCAGAACGGACCUGACGGCAAGGGACGAAAGCUAGGGGCACGAACC
RNAcentral lists this ribosomal RNA (384 nucleotides) under uncultured prokaryote. RNAcentral's name for it is "bacterial SSU rRNA". It matches the Rfam family "Archaeal small subunit ribosomal RNA", at positions 341 to 725 of the family's 1478-position model. The record is from RNAcentral.